Molecule: ribosomal RNA, 271 nt
Filed under: uncultured bacterium
Lineage: Bacteria
Description: partial 16S ribosomal RNA
Rfam family: Bacterial small subunit ribosomal RNA
Source: RNAcentral
UACGUAGGGACCGAGCGUUGUCCGGAAUCAUUGGGCGUAAAGAGCGUGUAGGCGGCCCCUUAAGUCCUGCGUGAAAUCCUGCGGCUCAACCGCAGACGGUCGUGGGAAACUGGAGGGCUAGAGUGCGGGAGAGGAGAGUGGAAUUCCCGGUGUAGCGGUGAAAUGCGCAGAUAUCGGGAAGAACACCCGUGGCGAAGGCGGCUCUCUGGAACGCAACUGACGCUGAGACGCGAAAGCGUGGGGAGCAAACAGGAUUAGAAACCCUGGGAUA